AGGGGAGGUGCUGGGAAUGGCUCAGAUCCCGGCCUAUCCUGAAAAGCCAGCUGGAUGAGACGCGCAGGUGGCCUAGGUGCGCAAGACGGAACAAAAGGCAGGCCUGAGUUUUGGCCUCAGCAAGGAGGAGGGUGGGGCUCGAUGUCCCUGGCGAUGCGGCAAAGCAGGAGCCAUUGGUUCGGGGGGCAAAACCAAAACUUGGGAUGAAUUCAGUUUGAAGAUGCAGACGAGUCCUUCCUGUGGAACAUCUGGAUUGAGCGCUGGACGCGUGAGAGGUCUCAGCUGUCGGGGGUGUGGGAGUCGUGGGUAAAUAGAAGUCCGAGGUGCAUUUAAAGUCACGAGACAGGGUGGGGGGCGCCUGGGUGGCUCAGUCGGUUGAGCAUCUGACUUCGGCUCAGGUCAUGAUCUCACGGUCUGUGGGUUCGAGCCCCGCGUCGGGCUCUGUGCUGACGGCUCGGAGCCUGGAGCCUGCUUCCGAUUCUGUGUCUCCCUCUCUCCCUGCCCCUCCCCCGCUCACGCUUCAUCGCACUCUGCUUCUCAAAAAUAAAUAAAUGUAAAAAAAAAAAAUUUAAAGUCGUGAGACAGGGUGAGACAGUGCAGACAGUGGGCACGGAGGGAGGACGGAGGACAGAGGCCCAGAGAGAUGGGAGGACCCGGUGAGGGAAGCCUAGACCCCGUGUCUGGCCGCGGGCAGGGGACAGAGCGCGUCUGGUGAGUCAAGGAGGAACGUGGUCCCGGAAGGAAGGCGGGGCCAGCUGUGUCGAGAGCUGGUGACGGGCCGAGUGACACGGAGACAGAAUUGCCGUUGACCCCAGCGACGUGGAGGCCCGUCCACCCUCAUCAGCGCGAGUCGGGUGCCCGAGAAAGCCCAGUGCCGACGGGGUUGGGAACUCUGGGCGGGAGCCUGGCCGCUGUGGCUUCUUGGGGACAGAGGGAGAGAGACAGGGGCCCAAUGGUGGGGCCCAAGGGAAGGCCCGUCCCCUGAGCGCACGUGACCGGGCCUGCGUCCCCUCCCCUGCCCUGCAGUCUGGGCCCUGAGACCGUCAGGCCUGCAGGAUGGCUGGUCCUGUGGGGCCGCAGGAGGCCGCGAUGGGCCCCGAUGCCUCCCUGAGAGACGCGUGCCCUUGACACGGACGACCCUGCGAUGCCGUUAACGAGCCUCUUUGACAUCAGCACGCGACGGGUCAGAGGGCGGGCACGUGCGGUCGUCUCGCGAGAAACGGCUCCUGCCGGCCAUGCCCCACGUGCCCUAUCAACGUUCCCACGAAGAAACUGUAUCUCGGUGGAAGAUGGCAAAGUGGAACCGGAGGAGGCAGAAUCACCAGCGGCGUUGGCCACGCCCACCCCCAACCUGAGGAAGCCAUGCUAAGUAAGGCCGCUGGAGAGGACGGCUCACCUGUGACAGUGACGUUCAGGACCGCGCUGCAGGCAAGGCCGUGGCCGUUGUCGGCCGUGCAGAAGUAGCCCCCCGCGUGGCUCCCGCCGACCGCAGGGAUCUCCAGCUGCGCCCUCUGGGAACGCCGGUGUUUCCUCCCCAGACUCUCCCCCGUGUCCUCCCGGUGCCAGGAGAACGUGGUGUCCCCUGUGCCUUCGGCCGCGGAGCAGGUGAGGACCAGAGGCUCCCCCGCAAGUGCCCGGCCCUCCGGGGGCUGGGUCUCCAGGAGCACUCCGGACACCGGGACCCCUGCGUGGACACGAGACAGCGGAUGGCUGUGAUCUGCAGUUCCGGGGACCGGCUCCAGUCUGACAGCACGACCCUGCGGUCCCUGAAGAAGCUGAAAUGAAGCACAGUGUCCGGCCGCUCUGGAGGCAGCUGAGUUUCGCAGCUCAGGUUCACAGAACUGCCCUCUGUGGGCUGGGAGGGGGUGACUUUCAGCUUCGGGUGUGGAAACAGUUCUAGAGAGAAGAGGGAAACCGAGGUCUCAGAGGGCGGCCCUGGGGGCCCUGGGGCAGGCGGGCUCGGCUGCUGGGUCCUGGGGAACUUCAGACACAAGGCACGACCCGGGCGGACCCCGCCUUCCCCUCUUUCCGCCCCAGCUCGAGUGCAGGGGCCCCGCGGCUCUGCCUGCCAGGGGACACGCGUCCCUCGUUACCCAGCGUUGGGACGGCAAUGUGUGGGUGCCCCGUCACACACUGAGCAAGUCGAUAAUCUGCAUGAAAUGAAAGGUUUACCUUGAAUUCGAACAGACUUGGUGUUUGACCUCCAUGCGUGCAUUUUGUCCACACGCCCAGUGCAGUGGUAGAAGCCACUGUUGUUUGAACUGGCUCGUGGUAUCGAAAGGUCCUGGCUCUGAUUGGAGGCGGAGAUGACUUUUCCGUUCCAAAUGUACUUCACAGAGGUCAGUGUCUCUCGACUCCUCGUCUGGCACCUCAGGACCAGUGUGUCACCUUCAAACACGCCAUGUGGAGCCUGGAGCACAAGCCAGCCUG
Molecule: long non-coding RNA, 2430 nt
Organism: Acinonyx jubatus (cheetah)
Lineage: Eukaryota; Metazoa; Chordata; Mammalia; Carnivora; Felidae
Exons: 2
Source: RefSeq, a predicted model, not a curated record